RNAcentral lists this long non-coding RNA (529 nucleotides) under Coffea arabica (coffee). Its description in RNAcentral is "long non-coding RNA (CARA_LNC006007)". Lineage: Eukaryota; Viridiplantae; Streptophyta; Magnoliopsida; Gentianales; Rubiaceae. The record is from RNAcentral.
AAAGCAUAUAUAUAUUAUUUCCAAUCAUCAUUUGAAAAUAAAACUAGUACAUCCUCAGUUUUCCUUUAGAAUUUCAAAGCAUAAAUUCUCUAGGAGGUAAAUGAGCAGGAAAAUGCAUUUUAUUCCUUUGAAACUCUUUCAUCUGGGUUCACAAUCACGAUACAUGGAGUUUGACCAUCAAAUCUCGGUCUCUUAUCCGCUUUAGCCAGCACUAAUAAUUAUCUCACUUCUUUUCACACUUACAAGUAUAAUAAUAAUUCAAAUUCGUCCAAUCUUUCACUACUAAUCUCUCAUCCCAUAUUUUCCUUCAAUAUAACAUCAACUAAUUCCUCAAUUUUUUUUUUAUUUCUACAAGUCCCAAGUAAGAAACUCUCAAGUAACCAAUUUCUUUAACCCGUAGGAUACAAUAGACCCUCUAGUUCACAUAAUAUUCAAAUUAAUCCCACAGUCAGCCAUCCUAAAUUUUAAACCUAGGAUACACUACAAGAUCUAAAGCCUAUGCUCUGAUACCAACUGUGACGCCCCCACU